RNAcentral lists this long non-coding RNA (507 nucleotides) under Hordeum vulgare. Its description in RNAcentral is "long non-coding RNA (HVUL_LNC015116)". The record is from RNAcentral. Lineage: Eukaryota; Viridiplantae; Streptophyta; Magnoliopsida; Poales; Poaceae.
GAGGUAGAAAUGUGUUCUUAUGAGGAUAUGGUUGUGUUGGGCACCCUCUCACAAAGUGGGAGGGGGGGUAUUUAUAGUGGGGAGAGAAAAAUAGUCGUUGGGGUCACUUAAGUCUGCCAGUGGUCGCACAUCCGGCAGUUUCUCGGAUGUCCGGACGCCCACAAGGUGUCGGACGUCCGACAGGGUUCGGUCGUCCGAGAGAUGCAUAUAUAUCUGGAAUCACUGUGUAGUUGAACUGAGGCCGGACGUCCGGAGGAAGCUGGAAAUCCGAGUUAUUCGACUCAAACUGCUCUGGUGAGAGAUUCCGGAUUUCCGAAGGAGGUCGGACGUCCGGAGGGAGCCGGAAGUCCGAGUUAUAUGGCUCAAGUUUCUCUGGUGCAAAGUUCCGGAUUUCCGAAGUUGGUCGAACGUCCGGAGGGAGCCGGAAGUCCGAGUUAUAUGGCUCAAGUUUCUGUGGUGCAAGGUUCCGGAUUUCUGAAGGAGGUCGGACGUCCGGCCCUCGGACGU